Non-coding RNA from Camponotus floridanus (Florida carpenter ant), 72 nucleotides. The record is from Rfam. NCBI's taxonomy places the organism in Eukaryota, Metazoa, Arthropoda, Insecta, Hymenoptera, Formicidae.
GGUUGAAUAGCUCAGUGGUAAGAGCAGUCGCCCGGCAAGCGAAAGACUCGGGUUCGAUUCCCGAUUCAGCGA